This 470-nucleotide ribosomal RNA is filed under the name uncultured bacterium. RNAcentral's name for it is "partial 16S ribosomal RNA". It matches the Rfam family "Bacterial small subunit ribosomal RNA", at positions 28 to 507 of the family's 1533-position model. The record is from RNAcentral.
GACGAACGCUGGCGGCGUGCUUAACACAUGCAAGUCGAACGGUGAACGAGGGAGCUUGCUCCCUCCGGAUCAGUGGCGAACGGGUGAGUAACACGUGAGCAAUCUGCCCCGAACUCUGGGAUAAGCGUUGGAAACGACGUCUAAUACCGGAUACGACGCGGGAGGGCAUCCUCUCCGCGUGGAAAGAACUUCGGUUCGGGAUGAGCUCGCGUCCUAUCAGCUUGUUGGUGAGGUAACGGCUCACCAAGGCGACGACGUGUAGCCGGCCUGAGAGGGUGACCGGCCACACUGGGACUGAGACACGGCCCAGACUCCUACGGGAGGCAGAAGUGGGGAAUAUUGCACCAUGGGCGCAAGCCUGAUGCAGCAAAGCCGCGUGAGGGAAGACGGCCUUCGGGUUGUAAACCUCUUUUAGCAGGGAAGAAGCGAAAGUGACGGUACCUGCAGAAAAAGCACCGGCUAACUCCGUG